UACGGGGGGGGCAAGCGUUGUUCGGAAUUACUGGGCGUAAAGGGCUCGUAGGCGGCCGACUAAGUCAGACGUGAAAUCCCCCGGCUUAACCGGGGAACUGCGUCUGAUACUGGACGGCUUGAAUUCGGGAGAGGGAUGCGGAAUUCCAGGUGUAGCGGUGAAAUGCGUAGAUAUCUGGAGGAACACCGGUGGCGAAGGCGGCAGCCUGGACCGACAUUGGCGCUGAGGAGCGAAAGCCAGGGGAGCAAACGGG
Molecule: ribosomal RNA, 253 nt
Filed under: uncultured bacterium
Lineage: Bacteria
Description: partial 16S ribosomal RNA
Rfam family: Bacterial small subunit ribosomal RNA
Source: RNAcentral